Salmo salar (Atlantic salmon) is the source of this 2260-nucleotide non-coding RNA. NCBI's taxonomy places the organism in Eukaryota, Metazoa, Chordata, Actinopteri, Salmoniformes, Salmonidae. The record is from RefSeq and is a predicted model, not a curated record.
UCUCUCUCUCUCUACCUCUCUCUCUCUACCUCUACCUCUCUCUCUCUCUACCUCUCUCUCUCUCUCUCUCUACCUCUCUCUCUCUCUCUCUCUACCGCUCUCUCUCUCUACCGCUCUCUCUCUCUACCGCUCUCUCUCUCUACCGCUCUCUCUCUACCUCUCUCCCUAUUCUGACCUAAUCACAGAUCAUUAGUUGCCAUGACAUUGUGAUUGUUUUUUUAUUAAAUGACUGCUAUCAUAGUUAUAUCAGAUUGUUAUCAGCUGGAUGGUGAAGCCACUGUUUUAUGGACCACGUAUUGAUGCAACCCAAAUGCCACCCUGUUUUCUUUAUAGUGUACUUGUUUGUCACAUGUUCUCUCAUCAGAAGAGUGGUUAGGUCCCAAAUGAGACCCUAUUCCCUAUAUAGUGCACUACGUUGACCAGAGCCCUAUUCCCUAUAUAGUGCACUACUGUUGACCAGAGCCCUAUUCCCUAUAUAGUGCACUACUGUUGACCAGAGCCCUAUUCCCUAUAUAGUGCACUACGUUAGACCAGAGCCUUAUUCCCUAUAUAGUGCACUACUGUUGACCAGAGCCCUAUUCCCUAUAUAGUGUACUACUGUUGACCAGAGCCCUAUUCCCUAUAUAGUGCACUACUAUAGACCAGAGCCCUAUUCCCUAUAUAGUGUACUACUGUUGACCAGGGCCCUAUUCCCUAUAUAGUACACUACUGUUGACCAGGGCCCUAUUCCCUAUAUAGUGCACUAAUUUUGACCAGAGCCCUAUGGGGAAUAGGGGGCCAAUUGGGACGCAGCCUCUAUGUGAAACUGGUCAGUUUUUAAAUGUAUGUUUCUGGGGUUCUUAUUGGUUGUCUGUGGUUGUUAUGGUUACCGUCUGGUCCAGUUCAUACAGACUGUUUUGGUUGUUGUUUCUUUGAUCUGACCGCUGUUUCUCUCUCUUUGUGUGGUUUAACUGUCUGUGGUCAGGUUCUGACCAAUCGGAUGGCUCUGUGGUCAGGUUCUGGCCAAUCGGAUGGCUCUGUGGUCAGGUUCUGGCCAAUCGGAUGGCUCUGUGGUCAGGUUCUGGCCAAUCGGAUGGCUCUGUGGUCAGGUUCUGGCCAAUCGGAUGGCUCUGUGGUCAGGUUCUGGCCAAUCGGAUGGCUCUGUGGUGGUGUUGUGACUACUGCUGUUUUAAGUACUCCUGGAGGACCCCUGGUGUUUCUGAUUGAUUAACUUCCGUCCAGCCCGGGAUUCAAUCAAAGGCGCAUUGUGGGUUAUUAGCACACCAAAUUAGACUGUUCAAUCUAAUGUAGACUUCAGCUGACAUCCACAGCGUUUACAAUGAAUACCAUCUCCACGAAGGUCAGAGAAAUGACCUGCUUAAAGGUGCAUUGUGGACAGUGCGCCUUUGGUUGAAUCCCAGCCACGGUCUCAUUCAGACCUGGGACACCAAAUCAUGUAUCAAUUACAUGUCCCAAAAUGGCACCCUAUUCCCUACAUAGUGCACUACUUUUGACCAGAGCCCUAAAAGUAGUCACAGUAUAGAAAAUAGGGAGCCAUUUUGGACAUCCAUCAGUGCUUCCAUCCCAAAUGGCUCGCUAUGUAGUCCACUACCUUUGACCAGAGGCCAAUGGGGAAUAGGAGGCCAAUGGGGAAUAGGAGGCCAAUGGGGGAAUAGGAGGCCAAUGGGGGAAUAGGAGGCCAAUGGGGGAAUAGGAGGCCAAUGGGGGAAUAGGAGGCCAAUGGGGGAAUAGGAGGCCAUAGGGGGAAUAGGAGGCCAAUGGGGGAAUAGGAGGCCAAUGGGGGAAUAGGAGGCCAUAGGGGAAUAGGAGGCCAUAGGGGAAUAGGAGGCCAAUGGGGAAUAGGAGGCCAUUUGGGAGGCCAUUCAGUGUCUGUCAGCCCUCCAGGUCUAGUUUGACCUUACAUCUCCCUGGUUAAAUGGAACUGGAUUCAUCACUCACUGCUUCUCAAUGUUUUAUGGAGUGUAUGUAUAUUAUUAUAUGAUCACAUUUUAAAACAACGUAUGUGUUGACCUCUAAGUACCCUGUGAACUGUUGUGUUGACCUCUAAGUACCCUGUGAACUGUUGUUGACCUCUAAGUACCCUGUGAACUGUUGUUGACCUCUAAGUACCCUGUGAACUGUUGUGUUGACCUCUAAGUACCCUGUGAACUGUUGUGUUGACCUCUAAGUACCCUGUGAACUGUUGUGUUGACCUCUAAGUACCCUGUGAACUGUUUUGAUUGAGAAAAAAAAUACAAAUAAAUAGAUUUGUCAAAUUUGA